This is a long non-coding RNA of Ochotona curzoniae (black-lipped pika), 254 nucleotides long. RefSeq lists it as uncharacterized. NCBI's taxonomy places the organism in Eukaryota, Metazoa, Chordata, Mammalia, Lagomorpha, Ochotonidae. The record is from RefSeq and is a predicted model, not a curated record. The transcript is spliced from 2 exons.
AUCAGCUCGAGCGCGAGACUCCGCCUGCAGCCGCAGCCUCUCGGAUCCACCUUAAAUCUUCAGUGGACUCCGCGCAGGGAGCUAAAGCUUCGUGCAUCCACACAGGAAAAUAUGGAAAACACAAACUGCAUUUCGUAGCCACAGGAAACAUCCUUGAGUUGUGGGCCUCGAUGAUCUAAAUGUUACCUUAGACCAUGUUUGUGUAAACAGGACUCCUUAAGCUUCGUGCAGCACAUUAAAUCUGACUCAGUGAA